UUCCUACUUGUUUGGAACCCUUAACUGC
Molecule: non-coding RNA, 28 nt
Filed under: Bombyx mori (domestic silkworm)
Lineage: Eukaryota; Metazoa; Arthropoda; Insecta; Lepidoptera; Bombycidae
Source: RNAcentral